UACGUAGGGGGCGAGCGUUGUCCGGAUUCAUUGGGCGUAAAGCGCUUUAAGGCGGUUCGCUAAGUCGCGUGUGAAACCUCCAGGCUCAACCUGGAGACGCCACGCGAUACUGGCGUGACUAGAGUUCGGUAGGGGAUCACGGAAUUCCUGGUGUAGCGGUGAAAUGCGCAGAUAUCAGGAGGAGCACCAGUGGCGAAGGCGGUGAUCUGGGCCGAUACUGACGCUGUAGAGCGAAAGCGUGGGGAGCGAACAGG
RNAcentral lists this ribosomal RNA (254 nucleotides) under uncultured bacterium. RNAcentral describes it as "partial 16S ribosomal RNA". It matches the Rfam family "Bacterial small subunit ribosomal RNA", at positions 524 to 776 of the family's 1533-position model. The record is from RNAcentral.